UUAGACCUCAAAUCAGUCAGGACUACCCGCUGAACUUAAGCAUAUCAAUAAGCGGAGGA
RNAcentral lists this ribosomal RNA (59 nucleotides) under uncultured Basidiomycota. RNAcentral describes it as "partial 26S ribosomal RNA". It matches the Rfam family "Eukaryotic large subunit ribosomal RNA", at positions 1 to 57 of the family's 3401-position model. The record is from RNAcentral. Lineage: Eukaryota; Fungi; Basidiomycota.